GCUGUAGCUCAGUGGUAGAUGGUCUGCUCUGGAAGCAGAAGGUCCCAGUUUCAAUUCCCAGCAUCUCCA
Podarcis lilfordi (Lilford's wall lizard) is the source of this 69-nucleotide non-coding RNA. The record is from the annotation of a GenBank genome assembly. Lineage: Eukaryota; Metazoa; Chordata; Lepidosauria; Squamata; Lacertidae.